CGGGGAUGAUAGAAGAUAUGGUAACGUCCAUAUGGAGUGAAUACUACAGUGGUGGAUGGGUCACUAGUAAAGCCAGGACCAAAGGUACCAUAGAUAGGGGUAGAAGGAGAUGGUGGAGAUAAUCUAGGAACACAAGUAUAAGAAAUCAGAAAGUACCAAUCUUUGGCCACCCUUUUGAACGCAAUCAGAGGUUUCUCCGGUAACCGGCACAAAAUCUCAACUUUCAAAUCAUCCGGUAAUUUUGACCAAUCGGACAACUCCUGUUCGCCUUGCUCUAUCAGAUCUCCAUCGCCGUUCUCCUCCGCCAUGGAUUUAGAUGGAUAAUAAAAUAAAAUUCGGAUUUUAUUUGUGUGUGUAUUUCUCGAGACUAGUUUUUGUGUGGCGGAAGUCGGAACACCUAAAAAAAAACCUAAAAAUGAUGUAUCCGGUUCCGGUUCUGGGUCUAUUUGGAUAAACGGUUCAAGUUUUGGCGGUUCGUGGUUCUGGCGGUUCCGGUUCUGGCGAUUCCCGGUUUUGGCGGUUCCGGUUCCGGAACUGCCCGGUUCCGAUUUUGGCGGUUCCCGGCGGUUCCGACCUUUUUUUUUUUUUCUAAAUUAAUAUCUUGUAUAAGUGAUUAGUAUAUUGUAGAAUAUAUUUUUAUAUGGUGUACUAUUUUCUUAUUAUAGCAUAUAUUGUGUUUGGAAAUUAGUAUAUAUUCAAAAUAAGUAGUGUAUAUUUUGUAUAUAAGUAGUAUAUGUUGUAGUAAAGUAGUAUAUAUUGAGUAUAAGAAAUCAGAAAGUACCAAUCUUUGGCCACCCUUUUGAACGCAAUCAGAGGUUUCUCCGGUAACCGGCACAAAAUCUCAACUUUCAAAUCAUCCGGUAAUUUUGACCAAUCGGACAACUCCUGUUCGCCUUGCUCUUUCAGAUCUCCAUCGCCGUUCUCCUCCGCCAUGGAUUUAGAUGGAUAAUAAAAUAAAAUUCGGAUUUUAUUUGUGUGUGUAUUUCUCGAGACUAGUUUUUGUGUGGCGGAAGUCGGAACACCUAAACAAAACCUAAAAGGGUGUUUGGCCUAAGUUUAUACGCUGGUUCAGCUUAUAUAACUAUUUUU
Molecule: long non-coding RNA, 1089 nt
Filed under: Nicotiana benthamiana
Lineage: Eukaryota; Viridiplantae; Streptophyta; Magnoliopsida; Solanales; Solanaceae
Description: long non-coding RNA (NBEN_LNC008861)
Source: RNAcentral